GGCGGAAGCGGAAGCGGAGGUGCAGGAAGAUGGCGGUGCUGGGGGGUUUGGCGGCGGUGAACAGGCUGCGUGAGUUUUUGGCUGCUCCGCAGGUGACUGCGAUUGCAGUGCGAUGCGCAUCCAAGAAGAGUGGAGGCAGCUCAAAAAAUCUCGGUGGCCACAGCCCCGGGAAACACUAUGGCUAUAAGAAAACAGAGGGCGCCUUUGUUCAUGCAGGCAACACAUUAGCCACCCAACGGAUAAUACGCUGGCAUCCAGGGGCUCAUGUGGGGAUGGGUUGUAACAAGACUCUCUAUGCUCUGGAGGAUGGGAUUGUGCGAUUCACCAAGGAGGUCUAUGUGCCACCACCCCGCAGCCAAGAGACCAGGGAAGUGAUCUGUCGUCUACCAAAAGGGGUGGUGCUUUACAAAACCUUCAUCAACGUUGUCCCCACCAAAGAAGUGGGGAGCUUCAAGCUAGUCACCAUGCUCUGAGGCUCUGCUACCUCAUGCAGUAACGACUGGUGGGGUGGGACUGAUCACCAUGACAAACCUGGCACUCAAUCAAAAAGACGUCUGAGGACUCCUCUAGGUCUGAAAUGACUUGUUGGCAACUGCAGUUUCCUGCUCCUACAACUCAUUGGGUGUGGAUUUGAGAGUUACAAGGUGGGAGCUAAUUGCACUGGGCGUCAGAGGCUGAACUGAAUCCCUGUUGUCACUCCCCCUCCUCUUAAUGAAAGAGUUUGCAGCAUAUUGGUAACAGUUAGAAGCCUUUAUGCAAGGAGUUACUGCAGUUUAUUGGCAUGAACAAGUACCAGAAGGAGCUGUCUCCACUGUUUGUGCUUAUCAUCUGAGGGGAAAGUCCAGGGAGACAUAAACAACCAGCUCUGCUCACAUGGUGAACUCUGGUUGUACUGUGUGAAGCCGGCAUCUUUGCCAGAAAUUUUGUUGUAAAACUCCUGUCUGUUUAGGUAGAAGAGGGAACUCCAGGAGCUCCCUGCCCAAAAGACAGUUUCAGAGAAUGAGAAUAAAAUGUUUUUCUGAAUUAAUCAUGCAAUAGCUUUAGAACGAUGUCCAGUCCUGCCAUGAUGAGCAUAUUCAAAAGGGAAACUGCCACAUUGUGGCCAAAAAUAAAACCCUAAGGUCAAUAGAAAUAUAUUUUCAUGACAUCCUAAAGUUUCAUUCCAAAGCAAUUUGUCUGGAUUUUGAGUCCCUCCCGUGUUUGUAAUGCUCAUACUACAGCAUUGUGCAAAGGCAGAGGAGCUAGUGAAAAAAUAAGGCCAGAUGACUUCUAAAAUGUUUGGUUUUAAUAGUAGAAGGUAUUAAACUUCUGUUCCUAUAA
Gopherus flavomarginatus (Mexican gopher tortoise) is the source of this 1320-nucleotide RNA transcript. It is a transcript of the gene named mitochondrial ribosomal protein L27, with no coding region annotated. The record is from RefSeq and is a predicted model, not a curated record. Lineage: Eukaryota; Metazoa; Chordata; Testudines; Testudinidae. The transcript has 5 exons.